This 497-nucleotide ribosomal RNA is filed under the name uncultured bacterium. Its description in RNAcentral is "partial 16S ribosomal RNA". It matches the Rfam family "Bacterial small subunit ribosomal RNA", at positions 28 to 507 of the family's 1533-position model. The record is from RNAcentral.
GAUGAACGCUGGCGGCGUGCCUAAUACAUGCAAGUCGAGCGAACAGACGAGGAGCUUGCUCCUCUGACGUUAGCGGCGGAAGGGUGAGUAACACGUGGAUAACCUACCUAUAAGACUGGGAUAACUUCGGGAAACCGGAGCUAAUACCGGAUAAUAUAUUGAACCGCAUGGUUCAAUAGUGAAAGACGGUUUUGCUGUCACUUAUAGAUGGAUCCGCGCCGCAUUAGCUAGUUGGUAAGGUAACGGCUUACCAAGGCAACGAUGCGUAGCCGACCUGAGAGGGUGAUCGGCCACACUGGAACUGAGACACGGUCCAGACUCCUACGGGAGGCAGCAGUAGGGAAUCUUCCGCAAUGGGCGAAAGCUUGACGGAGCAACGCCGCGUGAGUGAUGAAGGUCUUCGGAUCGUAAAACUCUGUUAUUAGGGAAGAACAAAUGUGUAAGUAAAUAUGCACGUCUUGACGGUACCUAAUCAGAAAGCCACGGCUAACUACGUG